UAGACACCCAAUCUGCUGGAGCCACUUCUUGGACUUUCCAGAACCCAGAGCAAUAGGCUGCUUAUUCAUCAUUCGGAAUGAGGCGUUUCUAUUACAGCAUCCUCAAGCGACUGAGGCAGGCCCCAAGUCCAACUUUGGGAGGGAGGAGGAAAAAGGAAGGACAAGAGAAAGAAAAUUGUCUCCAAAGAAAUCUGUCCCAUUACUGGUGACAAAGGAAGGAACAAAUCAGCAAGACAACACACAGGCAUGCCCCAGAGAGGUACAAAGAGAAGCACAGUAGCAGGACAGGUGUGACCACGAUGCUUAAGGACUCUUGUGAUUUAAUUCCCAUUGUUGUGUGCUGACGUAUGGAACAUCAGGAAUGGUCCCUAAUUUAACCUAUCCUUUAACCCUGUGAAGUUGUUACUACUACAAUCCUCAUGUUGAACCAAAGAAAUUGAGUCUCAGAAAUUGGAAGAAGCUGUGAAAGAUCAUAUGACUUGACAAAAUUCACUGCCAGGUAACUCGCAGUCCAACACCCUGCUUUCUGUUUUACCCUUUGGCGUUUUGAUCCUGGUGAAGAAAUAUCUGUUUCAUGAUUGGCAAGCUGACACUGAGAAUCAAGAGAUAAUUUGCGCGAAGUCCCACUUAGGGAAGAAAGGACUUCUGCGGACAACAUCUAAUUCUUAGUGCAGUUUGUACCACAGAAUUCGGAUUCAGAGAGAGUUAAAAACCCACUGACUGGUUAGUAUAGCACUUUUAAUGGACCAGAAUAACAUUUCAAAAUUCACAUAUCUCAAAUAUUAAUAAAAAUAUCUUCAUCUAGACAACAAGAAGAGAAGCAAUGCUCAGCUUCUUCUUAUAGACGUUGAAAUGUUUAAACGCAGUCGUGUAUGUUCUGUGACUUACAGCACAAGCUGAAAAUUCCUAGCAAACUUUACUGAAAGACCUCUGCAAUUAGUGAUCUAUAAUCAGUAAUCCGCAGUGUCUCUAACUAUUUGGAAAGUGGGGGCAAGCCUACAAACUUUGGAGUCUACAUUCUAGUGUGUCUCUGAAAACAUCCAAACUCUGUCACAUGUGUCAGUUUGCUCGGCUACAAAAUGGCAUCUACCUCAAAGAAACUGUGUUUGGGACUAAAUAAAACUUUCUACAGC
RNAcentral lists this long non-coding RNA (1133 nucleotides) under Fukomys damarensis (Damara mole-rat). RNAcentral's name for it is "lncRNA (ENSFDAG00000027778.1)". The record is from RNAcentral. Lineage: Eukaryota; Metazoa; Chordata; Mammalia; Rodentia; Bathyergidae.